Molecule: ribosomal RNA, 485 nt
Filed under: uncultured bacterium
Lineage: Bacteria
Description: SSU rRNA
Rfam family: Bacterial small subunit ribosomal RNA
Source: RNAcentral
AGAGCGAACGCUGGCGGCAGGCCUAAUACAUGCAAGUCGAACGGAUCCUUCGGGAUUAGUGGCGGACGGGUGAGUAACACGUGGGAACGUGCCCUUUGGUUCAGAACAACUCAGGGAAACUUGAGCUAAUACUGGAUAAGCCCUCAUCCUUAAACAGAUGAGUGGGAAAGAUUUAUCGCCAUUGGAGCGGCCCGCGUCUGAUUAGCUAGUUGGUAGGGUAAAGGCCUACCAAGGCUUCGAUCAGUAGCUGGUCUGAGAGGAUGAUCAGCCACACUGGGACUGAGACACGGCCCAGACUCCUACGGGAGGCAGCAGUAGGGAAUUUUUUCUCAAUGGGCGAAAGCCUGAAGGAGCGACGCCGCGUGGGGGAUGAAUGGCUUCGGCCCGUAAACCCUGUCAUUUGUGAACAAAUUAAUCUACCUAACAUGUGGAUUAUUGAUAGUAACGGAAGAGGAAGGGACGGCUAACUCUGUGCCAGCAGCCGC